Molecule: ribosomal RNA, 395 nt
Filed under: uncultured bacterium
Lineage: Bacteria
Description: bacterial SSU rRNA
Rfam family: Bacterial small subunit ribosomal RNA
Source: RNAcentral
CGCGGUCGGGAACCUCGCCCACGGUUCCGGGGAUACCAGUUAGGAAACGACUAGUUAACUACCGCAUAAGCGCACGGAAGGACAUCCUUUUUGUGUGAAAAAACUGAGGUGGAAUGGGAUGGCCCCGCGUCUGAUUAGCCAGUUGGCAGGGUAACGGCCUACCAAAGCGACGAUCAGUAGCCGGCCUGAGAGGGCGACCGGCCACAUUGGGACUGAGACACGGCCCAAACUCCUACGGGAGGCAGCAGUGGGGAAUAUUGCACAAUGGGGGAAACCCUGAUGCAGCCGACGCCGCGUGAGUGAAGAAGUAUUUCGGUAUGUAAAGCUCUAUCAGCAGGGAAGAAGAUGACGGUACCUGCACAAGAAGCCCCGGCUAACUACGUGCCAGCCGCCGC